This 449-nucleotide ribosomal RNA is filed under the name uncultured bacterium. RNAcentral describes it as "partial 16S ribosomal RNA". It matches the Rfam family "Bacterial small subunit ribosomal RNA", at positions 29 to 523 of the family's 1533-position model. The record is from RNAcentral.
AACGAACGCUGGCGGCAUGCCUAACACAUGCAAGUCGAACGAAGGCUUCGGCCUUAGUGGCGCACGGGUGCGUAACGCGUGGGAAUCUGCCCCCCGGUUCGGAAUAACAGUUAGAAAUGACUGCUAAUACCCGAUGAUGACUUCGGUCCAAAGAUUUAUCGCCGAGGGAUGAGCCCGCGUAAGAGUAGGUAGUUGGUGGGGUAAAGGCCUACCAAGCCGACGAUCUUUAGCUGGUCUGAGAGGAUGAUCAGCCACACUGGGACUGAGACACGGCCCAGACUCCUACGGGAGGCAGCAGUGGGGAAUAUUGGACAAUGGGCGAAAGCCUGAUCCAGCAAUGCCGCGUGAGUGAUGAAGGCCUUAGGGUUGUAAAGCUCUUUUACCAGGGAUGAUAAUGACAGUACCUGGAGAAUAAGCUCCGGCUAACUCCGUGCCAGCCGCCGCUGUAA